This 497-nucleotide ribosomal RNA is filed under the name uncultured bacterium. Its description in RNAcentral is "partial 16S ribosomal RNA". It matches the Rfam family "Bacterial small subunit ribosomal RNA", at positions 28 to 507 of the family's 1533-position model. The record is from RNAcentral.
GAUGAACGCUGGCGGCGUGCCUAAUACAUGCAAGUCGAGCGAACAGACGAUGAGCUUGCUCCUCUGACGUUAGCGGCGGACGGGUGAGUAACACGUGGAUAACCUACCUAUAAUACUGGGAUAACUUCGGGAAACAGGUGCUACUACCGGAUAAUAUAUUGAACCGCAUGGUUCAAUAGUGCAUGACGGUUUUGCUGUCUCUUAUAGAUGGAUCCGCGCCGCAUUAGCUACUUGGUAAGGUCACGGCUUACCAAGGCAACGAUGCGUAGCCGACCUGAUAGGGUGAUCGGGCACACCGGAAACGAGACACGGUCCAGACCCCCAAGGGAAGGAGCAGUAGGGAAUCUUCCGCAAUGGGCGAAAACCUGACGGAGCAAAGCCGCGGGAGUGAUAGAGGUCUUCGGAGCGGAAAACUCUGUUAGAAGGGAAGAACAAAUGUGUAAGUAACUAUGCACGUCUUGACGGUACCUAAACAGAAAGCCACGGCUAACUACGUG